CAAGCCCUGGAAACGGGGUCUAAUACCGGAUAUGACUGUCCAUCGCAUGGUGGAUGGUGUAAAGCUCCGGCGGUGCAGGAUGAGCCCGCGGCCUAUCAGCUUGUUGGUGAGGUAGUGGCUCACCAAGGCGACGACGGGUAGCCGGCCUGAGAGGGCGACCGGCCACACUGGGACUGAGACACGGCCCAGACUCCUACGGGAGGCAGCAGUGGGGAAUAUUGCACAAUGGGCGAAAGCCUGAUGCAGCGACGCCGCGUGAGGGAUGACGGCCUUCGGGUUGUAAACCUCUUUCAGCAGGGAAGAAGCGAAAGUGACGGUACCUGCAGAAGAAGCGCCGGCUAACUACGUGCCAGCAGCCGCGGUAAUACGUAGGGCGCAAGCGUUGUCCGGAAUUAUUGGGCGUAAAGAGCUCGUAGGCGGCUUGUCACGUCGGUUGUGAAAGCCCGGGGCUUAACCCCGGGUCUGCAGUCGAUACGGGCAGGCUAGAGUUCGGUGGGGGAGAUCGGAAUUCCUGGU
RNAcentral lists this ribosomal RNA (516 nucleotides) under uncultured Streptomyces sp. Its description in RNAcentral is "bacterial SSU rRNA". It matches the Rfam family "Bacterial small subunit ribosomal RNA", at positions 144 to 674 of the family's 1533-position model. Lineage: Bacteria; Bacillati; Actinomycetota; Actinomycetes; Kitasatosporales; Streptomycetaceae. The record is from RNAcentral.